Jatropha curcas is the source of this 2292-nucleotide non-coding RNA. The record is from RefSeq and is a predicted model, not a curated record. Lineage: Eukaryota; Viridiplantae; Streptophyta; Magnoliopsida; Malpighiales; Euphorbiaceae.
ACGAUGCUGAUACACACACGCCAUAGUCAAGCUCAAACCCAAUCUUCCCUGUCUCUCUAUCUAGAUCGUUACUUCUCUCUCUAACCCCAAGUUCCAAACCCUAACCCUAAAAAUUCCCUAAAAAAGAAUAAAAAAUUUCUUACAUGAAAUUCAAUUCUCACGCAAACCCUAGAUUCCCAAUCAAAUAUCCGAUCAAGAAGAUAACUCAAGGCAUAAUUUGAUGAGAAUAAUCAAAGUAUUAUACUCUCAUAAUAAACUCUAACGAUUUCUCUUUCUCCGUAUCUCUAUCGGUUAAAAAAAAUCUAUGGAGGGCUCUGUGGUUGAGGAUCUCGGAGCCCCGGAGUCAUGGGAGGUGGCCGAUUUGGACGAAACGAUGAGCCGUUUGAUGCUCAAGGAUUCGAAGAGAGACUGCAAGCAAUCCUCUCAAGAGCUCUCCAUCGACUCUCCGACUUCUGUUAAUUCGGGCUCGGUUUUGGGUUCUGGAUCUUCGGCUUCAGGUACCGGUACUGGUGACAAAGUUGUAUCGGAAGAUUUAAUUAAUCAGGUCGAUCAGUUCCUUCGGGAAGCGUUGCAGAACCCUCGCGAGCGGCUUUCCAUUCUGAGGAUGGAGCAAGAUGUAGAGAAGUUCAUUUGUGAUCCUACACAACAGCAAUUAGAAUUUCAGCAGUUGCCCACUUCAUAUUUACGGUUGGCUGCACACCGUGUGGCACAGCAUUACUCACUGCCAUCUAUGGUUUUGUUAGACAACAAUUUACCUGAUGGUUCUGGUUCUAGAAUUAUUGUCCGCAAGACUUCUGAGUGUAGGCUGCCUUCAGUUCGCUUGGCAGACAUCCCUGUAAAUUUGCCAUCAGAAGACAGCAGCGUUGUUAAGGUUGCAAUUAAACAAAGGCCACAGAAGCGGCCCCAAACUGUCAACAAUUCAAAUUCAAGUUCCUUGAAGACAAAUAAUUCCAAAAGUGUGGAGGAAAGAAAAGAGGAAUACAACAGGGCACGAGCUCGAAUAUUUAAUUCUAGUGGUUUUAGCAGUGGUGCUAGUGGGAAGCCAGAAGGGGAACCAAGAUUGCAAGAUGGUUCCCAGCAUGGUUUAUUGGGUAUUUUCAAGACAGAAGAAAAACCUGUUUCAGGAAAUUUGGAUAUAAAUUCUAGUAGAGGUUCUAUUGAAUCUUCUAUUAGUAGCAAUAGGUCAACUAGGACUAGGAUAGAAAAAGAGCCAAUUAGUAGGUACAAACCAAACAAUAGGGUGGCCAUAUUUCGAGACCGUGAAAUUGAUAGGAAAGACCCUGAUUAUGACCGGAGCUAUGACAGGUAUAUGCAAAGAUUUGAUCCUGGAUUUGGAUUCAAUGGAGGACCUUAUACCUUGCAGCCAAUGUACACCCCUGCAUUGAACUACAAUACCGAAUUUCCUCAGCUUGGUUCUAGCCAUAGGCCACAGAUAUCCACUGAACACCAACCUCGACCUCUUCCUCAACAUUUACAUGGGCCAUGGGCUGCCCCAUCAAACCCUGCUGGAAUUGGAUAUGGCCAUCCAGAAACAAUGCUGCCACCAUUCAAUCCAAAUCAUGUUGGUGCACGCUCCACAUCUGCCAUUUAUCUGCAUUCCUCUCAGUACCCCUGUCAGCGCCCAGGAAUGCCUUUCAUCCAUCCUCAUGAGCAUGUUCAACCUUUUUCACAGUCUCAUCAACAGCAACCUGAUGCGAGUUUUGGUUUAGCCCGGCCCCGUUGAGGGGCUUGGACCAUGCCUGCACCCUGCAAACUGAAACAUGGGCUUGGAAUGUUAAUGUGCUGAUACAGCAUCACAUCGUAUCUCAAUUUGCAGGUGUGCAGGCAUAAGGAGCCGAGGUGGGUAGGAGUGGCUAUUUGCAGUGUGAUACAUUCCCACCACUUUCGGUAUCCAUUUGAAGCUUCUUCCAUGUGUCAUGGAGGAUGAAGAAGCUCAAAGGCUCAACAGAUGAUUGAGUGAGAGCCCUGUUAUGCCUUUGAUGAUGAUGACCAAAAUUAGGGAAAGAAUUGUAUAUGAAAAUGCAUCCUCUAUGUGGUAAAAGCAUGACAGGCAGCCAAAAGCGCAAACAAGAAAACUUGAAGCUUGUUUCUGUUCAAGCUGUUAUUUUGUAUUUGGCUUGCAGCAGCUUUGGUUAUCCAGCAGUCUCUUAUAGGACUCUGAUCACCACUCAUUGUGUUACUAAUAUGUACUUCCGACACUAGAAAUAAUGAAGCGACCUUACAGGAAGCCUUCUCGACUGUAAUGAUAUGUUUUGAUAACUAUAUGCAAUGUGAUCAUUUUCUUGUUGCUUA